RNAcentral lists this long non-coding RNA (372 nucleotides) under Citrus x clementina. RNAcentral describes it as "Citrus clementina (C. clementina) long non-coding RNA (CCLE_LNC000331)". Lineage: Eukaryota; Viridiplantae; Streptophyta; Magnoliopsida; Sapindales; Rutaceae. The record is from RNAcentral.
AUAUGUCUUACAUUAACAUUAGUUCAUUACAGAAGUCAUACUACAAAAUACAAAUCAUUAGGAUAAUUAUCUUUAUUGAUCUUCAUAAUCCUACGACAAAAAGAAAAAAGAAAUUUUUUUAUAUCAAUCAUGAAAUAAAUAAAAUGGAUAUAGAUAAUUAAAUAAAUGAGAUGAGCACUCAACGUGCUACUAGGUUAUAAUGAGAUGAGGACGAGUUAAGUGCUGGUUGCGACAAGAAUAAUUUGGAAAGGAUUCGUGAGACAAUAACAAGGUCACUCAAGAUUUGAUUUCUAAAUUGUGUGCUUGUGGGGUUAUGGGCUUUAGGCUGUGGUUAAGUAUAAAUUAUAUCAAAGACUUUAUAUUAACUAAAAU